GCUGCCAAGGGUUUGCUCUGAUCUUCAGCUCGGACGACGCGAGCGACUGCGGCGGCGGCGACGGCGACGGCAACGACGAUGUCCGGCGGCGCCGGAGGGGGGAGCAAAGCGGCAGCGCCGGCGGCGGCAAUCCCCGCUGCGGCGAGGAAGAUCGUGCAGGGGCUCAAGGAGAUCGUCAACUGCCCCGAUGCCGAGAUCUAUGCCAUGCUCAAGGAGUGCGGC
Molecule: unclassified non-coding RNA, 222 nt
Filed under: Hevea brasiliensis (rubber tree)
Lineage: Eukaryota; Viridiplantae; Streptophyta; Magnoliopsida; Malpighiales; Euphorbiaceae
Source: RNAcentral